AGUUUGCAUCAGUCAAUGCGAGAGCAUGAAAACUUUCUCACACGGUCACGUGGAAGCACCUGAAUUAUGGAAGGUGGAGAUAGAUGGAGUUCAUUGCUCAAAAGAGAAUCGUCUAAACGCUACAGUUAGCCAACAAUUUGAGAAUCGAUCGAAUAAGCAGCAUUGAUGAGUUAAUUAGUACAAUCAUAAUUUAACAUGUUCUAUGGGACACCAAAUGCAGGAGGAGAAUAUAAGUAGAUCCCAUCAAAGCAACAAAUAUUCAUUUCUGUUUGAGUGUGGUGUGUUGUGCAUGAUAUAAAUAAAUCCCCUGUAUUAUUUGCAGGAAGAAGUGUAUGAUUACUUUUUAACUUUUUAAGUGACAAAGCUAUAAGCUAAGUGUGUUUUAUGAAUAAAUUAUAUUUUGGAUUUUUAUACAAGAUAUAA
Arachis duranensis is the source of this 423-nucleotide long non-coding RNA. RefSeq lists it as uncharacterized. NCBI's taxonomy places the organism in Eukaryota, Viridiplantae, Streptophyta, Magnoliopsida, Fabales, Fabaceae. The record is from RefSeq and is a predicted model, not a curated record. The transcript has 2 exons.